This is a non-coding RNA of Triticum aestivum (bread wheat), 110 nucleotides long. The record is from Rfam. Lineage: Eukaryota; Viridiplantae; Streptophyta; Magnoliopsida; Poales; Poaceae.
CUUGUCAUCAAAAUGGAUAAAAAGAGAUGUAUCUAAAACUAAAAUACGUCUAGAUACAUUUCCUUUUAUCCAUUUUGAUGACAAGUAUUUCCGGACGGAGGGAGUAUUUG